AUUGAACGCUGGCGGAAUGCUUUACACAUGCAAGUCGAACGGGGAGUAAGAGCUUGCUCUUAAUCCUAGUGGUGAACGGGUGAGUAAUAUAUCGGAACGUAUCCAAUAAUGGGGGAUAACUAGUCGAGAGAUUGGCUAAUACCGCAUACGUCUACCGGAAGAAAGCUGGGGAUGGUAAGACCUGGCGUUAAUGGAGCGGCCGAUAUCUGAUUAGCUAGUUGGUGGGGUAAAGGCUCACAAAGGCGACGAUCAGUAGCUGGUCUGAGAGGACGACCAGCCACACUGGAACUGAGACACGGUCCAGACUCCUACGGGAGGCAGCAGUGGGGAAUUUUGGACAAUGGGCGAAAGCCUGAUCCAGCCAUUCCGCGUGAGUGAAGAAGGCCUUCGGGUUGUAAAGCUCUUUCGCAAGAGAAGAAAACUUACCUAAUAACACUAGGUGAGGUUGACGGUACCUUGAUAAGAAGCACCGGCUAACUACGUGCCAGCCGCCGCCGUAA
This 500-nucleotide ribosomal RNA is filed under the name uncultured bacterium. RNAcentral's name for it is "partial 16S ribosomal RNA". It matches the Rfam family "Bacterial small subunit ribosomal RNA", at positions 30 to 523 of the family's 1533-position model. The record is from RNAcentral.